UACCCCAUAGCCAAACGGUAAGGCAACGGAUUCUGGUUCCGUGAUGUUCUGGUUCGAAUCCAGAUGGGGUAAUCA
This 75-nucleotide transfer RNA is filed under the name Sporolactobacillus sp. THM7-4. RNAcentral describes it as "tRNA-Gln". It matches the Rfam family "tRNA". Rfam says of the family: Transfer RNA (tRNA) molecules are approximately 80 nucleotides in length. Their secondary structure includes four short double-helical elements and three loops (D, anti-codon, and T loops). Lineage: Bacteria; Bacillati; Bacillota; Bacilli; Caryophanales; Sporolactobacillaceae. The record is from RNAcentral.